GAUCAUGGCUCAGGAUGAACGCUAGCGGCAGGCCUAAUACAUGCAAGGCGAAGGGGCAGCAAUGUCACUGUCGUACGGGUGCGUAACGCGUAUGCAACCUACCUAUCACAGGGGAAUAGCCUUUGGAAACAGGGAUUAAUACCGCAUAAAGCAGGGACACCGCAUGGUGAUAUUGCUAAAGAUUUAUCGGUGAUAGAUGGGCAUGCGUCUGAUUAGUUAGAUGGUAGGGUAACGGCCUACCAUGACGAUGAUCAGUAGGGGGCGUCAGAGCGUGGUCCCCCACACUGGCACUGAGAUACGGGCCAGACUCCUACGGGAGGCAGCAGUAGGGAAUAUUGGGCAAUGGAUGCAAGUCUGACCCAGCCAUGCCGCGUGAAGGAAGAAGGUCCUCUGGAUUGUAAACUUCUUUUAUCGGGGAAGAAGAAACGCCUUGCGAGGUGAAGUGACGGUACCCGAUGAAUAAGCCACGGCUAACUACGUG
RNAcentral lists this ribosomal RNA (481 nucleotides) under uncultured bacterium. RNAcentral's name for it is "bacterial SSU rRNA". It matches the Rfam family "Bacterial small subunit ribosomal RNA", at positions 15 to 507 of the family's 1533-position model. The record is from RNAcentral.